UCACUGCUGAGUUGUCCCAUAAUAGGACGAAACGGCCGUCCAGUGU
Non-coding RNA from Schistosoma rodhaini, 46 nucleotides. NCBI's taxonomy places the organism in Eukaryota, Metazoa, Platyhelminthes, Trematoda, Strigeidida, Schistosomatidae. The record is from Rfam.